Oryzias javanicus (javanese ricefish) is the source of this 815-nucleotide long non-coding RNA. The record is from Ensembl. Lineage: Eukaryota; Metazoa; Chordata; Actinopteri; Beloniformes; Adrianichthyidae.
AGUACAUGUUUCAGUUUUCUGUUUUUGCGUCUAAAUUUACUUGGGCAUGUUUUCCCCAUAAGCCCGACAUCAUCUGUGUGAGGACUCUUUUCUUGCCCUCUAUCUGCAGCAUUACACUGAAUUAUUCUUGACCCUCCCUUCCUUCCUCUCCUGAUAUACCAACGGAGAACGCCCAGGGUGGCUUUCACAGCUCAGAGCAAAGGAACUGCCUGAUCAUCAGCUUCAGACACACUUGGAGCCUGACAUGCGCAUACACCCACAUGUCCCAUAAAAACCUGGAGCCCCCGGCAGUCACCCACACUUCUGAGCUCCAGCAUCCAGCAGCAGCUGCUCAUCUCAUCUGAUAGCGGCGUGCCGAGUGAGGGGAAGAUGUGGGCUUGUGGAGGGCCAAUCACGCUUGUGCUGUUCCGCCUCUUUGGCUCAGCUUCCCUGUUUCCCUAUACACCCGCUCCUUCUGUUCCAUCAGAAAUUUCUCCUCCUCCACCAUUGUUAACAAACUUCCCAUCUUUGCUCUCUUCGUCUCUCAGCAUCCCAUCCUCUAACCCCCACCUCACCUCCAGCUCUGGGGAACCCUCAAAGAGAGCCGGCUGUGACCUCAGCAUCUCACCUUCCUCCUUAGUGGUCAGGUUUGGAGAUCCGGUCAAAGCUAACUGCUCCAAGCAGAAGGCAGGGUUUCCUAUCCUGGGUUGGGCAGUCCCAGUGGUAGGUGAAUGUUUUGAUCACUGCUUUAUACAUAAUUUAUAUAUUUUUUUGCUUUUUAAAAGGAAAGAUGAUCUUUUUUAUAUGCAUGUGCAAAUUGUAACAGAAAGUUGUUU